CUUGCCUAAUACAUGCAAGUCGAGCGAAUGAUGAAGAAGCUUGCUUCUUCUGAUUUAGCGGCGGACGGGUGAGUAACACGUGGGCAACCUACCUAGUAGAUUGGGAUAACUCCGGGAAACCGGGGCUAAUACCGAAUAAUCCAUUUUGUCACAUGGCAAAAUGCUGAAAGGCGGUUUCGGCUGUCACUACUAGAUGGGCCCGCGGUGCAUUAGCUAGUUGGUGGGGUAAUGGCCUACCAAGGCAACGAUGCAUAGCCGACCUGAGAGGGUGAUCGGCCACAUUGGGACUGAGACACGGCCCAAACUCCUACGGGAGGCAGCAGUAGGGAAUCUUCCACAAUGGACGAAAGUCUGAUGGAGCAACGCCGCGUGAGUGAUGAAGGUUUUCGGAUCGUAAAACUCUGUUGUAAGGGAAGAACAAGUACGUUAGUAACUGAACGUACCUUGACGGUACCUUAUUAGAAAGCCACGGCUAACUACGUGCCAGCAGCCGCGGUAAUACGUAGGUGGCAAGCGUUGUCCGGAUUUAUUGGGCGUAAAGCGCGCGCAGGUGGUUUCUUAAGUCUGAUGUGAAAGCCCACGGCUCAACCGUGGAGGGUCAUUGGAAACUGGGAGACUUGAGUGCAGAAGAGGAAAGUGGAAUUCCAAGUGUAGCGGUGAAAUGCGUAGAGAUUUGGAGGAACACCAGUGGCGAAGGCGACUUUCUGGUCUGUAACUGACACUGAGGCGCGAAAGCGUGGGGAGCAAACAGGAUUAGAUACCCUGGUAGUCCACGCCGUAAACGAUGAGUGCUAAGUGUU
RNAcentral lists this ribosomal RNA (800 nucleotides) under Viridibacillus sp. RNAcentral describes it as "bacterial SSU rRNA". It matches the Rfam family "Bacterial small subunit ribosomal RNA", at positions 43 to 824 of the family's 1533-position model. Lineage: Bacteria; Bacillati; Bacillota; Bacilli; Caryophanales; Caryophanaceae. The record is from RNAcentral.